GGUAUUCUGGAGUCAACUAAACUAAAAACACAAAAUAUUAUACAGCUGCCCAAUUAACUUCAUCAUUGUUUGACGAGAGAAAUAUUUAUUCUUCUAUUUCAAUAUAAACUAAUCCUCAAUAAAAUAAAAACAAACUUCUCAGAGAACAAUAAGACAUCAAAAUGAUACAAUAGAACUUUUUAAGGAUCACUAUCAGCCUGUGAAGUAAUUCUGGCGUAGUUUUUACAUUUUUUGUUUGUUUUAUUUAUAUUCUUUCAGAAGGAACCCUCAUCCUCAUCCCUGUACCCAACUUUCCCUUCUCUCAAUUAUCUCUUUCAGUUUGAAAGAAGGGAGGAAAAAGAAG
This 343-nucleotide unclassified non-coding RNA is filed under the name Hevea brasiliensis (rubber tree). The record is from RNAcentral. Lineage: Eukaryota; Viridiplantae; Streptophyta; Magnoliopsida; Malpighiales; Euphorbiaceae.